RNAcentral lists this ribosomal RNA (460 nucleotides) under uncultured bacterium. RNAcentral describes it as "partial 16S ribosomal RNA". It matches the Rfam family "Bacterial small subunit ribosomal RNA", at positions 338 to 795 of the family's 1533-position model. The record is from RNAcentral.
CCUACGGGAGGCAGCAGUGAGGAAUAUUGGUCAAUGGGCGCGAGCCUGAACCAGCCAAGUAGCGUGAAGGAUGACUGCCCUACGGGUUGUAAACUUCUUUUAUAAAGGAAUAAAGUGAGGCCCGUGUGCCUUUUUGUAUGUCCUUUAUGAAUAAGGAUCGGCUACCUCCGUGCCAGCAGCCGCGGUAAUACGGAGGAUCCGGGCUUGCACCGGAUUUAUUGGGUUUAAAGGGAGCGUAGAUGGGUUGUUAAGUCAGUUGGGAAAGUUUGCGGCUCAACCGUAAAAUUGCAAUUGAUACUGGCAGUCUUGAGUACAGUUGAGGUAGGCGGAAUUCGUGGUGUAGCGGUGAAAUGCUUAGAUAUCACGAAGAACUCCGAUUGCGAAGGCAGCUUACUAAACUGCCACUGACAUUGAGGCUCGAAAGUGUGGGUAUCAAACAGGAUUAGAUACCCGGGUAGUC